RNAcentral lists this ribosomal RNA (439 nucleotides) under uncultured bacterium. RNAcentral's name for it is "partial 16S ribosomal RNA". It matches the Rfam family "Bacterial small subunit ribosomal RNA", at positions 338 to 795 of the family's 1533-position model. The record is from RNAcentral.
CCUACGGGGGGCAGCAGUAGGGAAUAUUACUCAAUGGGGGAAACCCUGAAGCAGCAACGCCGCGUGGAGGAUGAAGGUUUUCGGAUUGUAAACUCCUUUGUUAGAGAAGAUAAUGACGGUAUCUAACGAAUAAGCACCGGCUAACUCCGUGCCAGCAGCCGCGGUAAUACGGAGGGUGCAAGCGUUACUCGGAAUCACUGGGCGUAAAGGGCGCGUAGGCGGGAUAGCAAGUCAGAUGUGAAAUCCUAUGGCUUAACCAUAGAACUGCAUUUGAAACUGUUAUUCUAGUGUAUGGGAGAGGUAGGUGGAAUUCUUGGUGUAGGGGUAAAAUCCGUAGAGAUCAAGAGGAAUACUCAUUGCGAAGGCGACCUGCUAGAACAUAACUGACGCUGAUGCGCGAAAGCGUGGGGAGCAAACAGGAUUAGAUACCCGAGUAGUC